This 667-nucleotide long non-coding RNA is filed under the name Piliocolobus tephrosceles (Ugandan red Colobus). Its description in RNAcentral is "lncRNA (ENSPTEG00000026791.1)". The record is from RNAcentral. Lineage: Eukaryota; Metazoa; Chordata; Mammalia; Primates; Cercopithecidae.
GUCAGGUUCACUCUUUUCUCCUUCCUGCCUUCAUUUCCUGAAUCACAUCCUUUUGAGCAUGUGUGAUGACAAGGCAGGGCUGGACCCUGGGCCUGCAGCAGUGAACCGGCCCAGUCACCUGCCCUAAGGGGUCUUGCAGGAGGAACCCCCAGAAUGACGGCUGUCUCCUCAAACAGGAACUUUGGAAGCCAGAAGCAGACACUGCAGGUAUUUCACAUAACAAGAGUGGAGAUGGGGGUAGAAGGCGCCUCACUCUUUUAAACAAUUACAUCUCACAUGAGCUCAGAGUGAGAACUCACUCACUGUCAUGAGGAUGGCACCAACAUGUUCAUGAGGGACCCACCCCCAUAAUCCAAACACCACCCACCAGGCCCACCUCGCCACUGGGGACUACACUUCCAGAGACUUCUGAAAUCCCACCAGGCCCACCUCUACCACCGGGGAUUACACUUCCGGAGAUUUCUGAAAUGCCUUUGAGGCCUUUUCCCCAUGAGAUUUAGAAGAGACAGACAUCUAAACCGUAUCAUUCCACCCUGGGCUUCCCGAAUCUCAUGUCCUUCUCACAUUGCAAAGUAAGAUCGUCCCUUCUCAGUAGCUCUGCAAAGUCUUAACUCGUCCCAGCAUCAACACAACCAAAAGCCUCCAGUCCCAGGUUCAGUCUCAUCUG